CUCUGUGACUGAGGCGGCGGCGGUGGCGGCCGAGCGGGAUACGGGCGGCGGGAGCUGGGGAACAGGCAUGGACGUUUCGGGGCAAGAGACAGACUGGCGGAGCACCGCCUUCCGGCAGAAGCUGGUCAGUCAAAUGAUCUCACUCUGUCACUCAGGCUGAAGUGCAGUGGCGUGAUUGUGGCUCACUGUAACCUCCACCUCCUGGGCUCAAGUGAUCCUCCCACAUCAGCCUCCCAAGUAGCUGGGACCACAGCGAGGAUGCCAUGAGGAAAGCUGGUGUGGCACACAGUAAAUCCAGCAAGGAUAUGGAGAGCCAUGUUUUCCUGAAGGCCAAGACCCGGAUCCUAUGAAUGCACUCCAGAGCCUGACUGGCGGACCCGCCGCGGGAGCCGCCGGAAUUGGCAUGCCUCCUCGGGGCCCGGGACAGUCUCUGGGCGGGAUGGGUAGCCUUGGUGCCAUGGGACAGCCAAUGUCUCUCUCAGGGCAGCCGCCUCCUGGGACCUCGGGCAUGGCCCCUCACAGCAUGGCUGUCGUGUCUACGGCAACUCCACAGACCCAGCUGCAGCUCCAG
RNAcentral lists this small RNA (571 nucleotides) under Pongo abelii (Sumatran orangutan). RNAcentral's name for it is "processed transcript". Lineage: Eukaryota; Metazoa; Chordata; Mammalia; Primates; Hominidae. The record is from RNAcentral.